CACGCCCGGUCGUACUCAUAAC
RNAcentral lists this small nuclear RNA (22 nucleotides) under Arabidopsis thaliana (thale cress). RNAcentral's name for it is "snRNA_00026". Lineage: Eukaryota; Viridiplantae; Streptophyta; Magnoliopsida; Brassicales; Brassicaceae. The record is from RNAcentral.